GACGAACGCUGGCGGCGUGCUUAACACAUGCAAGUCACGGGGGCGUCGCAAGGGCAACCGGCGAACGGGUGCGUAACACGUGAGCAACUUACCGAUUUGUGGGGGAUAGCCGGCCCAACGGCCGGGUAAUACCGCAUACGCUCUUUGGGUGGAGUCACCUGAAGAGGAAACCUCCGGGGCAAAUCGAGGGGCUCGCGGCCUAUCAGCUAGUUGGGUGCGGGUAACGGCCCACCAAGGCGAUGACGGGUAGCGGUCUGAGAGGAUGGCCAGCCA
RNAcentral lists this ribosomal RNA (273 nucleotides) under uncultured bacterium. RNAcentral describes it as "partial 16S ribosomal RNA". It matches the Rfam family "Bacterial small subunit ribosomal RNA", at positions 28 to 310 of the family's 1533-position model. The record is from RNAcentral.